UACGUAGGGGGCGAGCGUUGUCCGGAAUUAUUGGGCGUAAAGAGCGUGUAGGCGGUUUGGUAAGUCUGCCGUGAAAACCCGGGGCUCAACCCCGGUCGUGCGGUGGAUACUGCCAGGCUAGAGGAUGGUAGAGGCGAGUGGAAUUCCCGGUGUAGCGGUGAAAUGCGCAGAUAUCGGGAGGAACACCAGUAGCGAAGGCGGCUCGCUGGGCCAUUCCUGACGCUGAGACGCGAAAGCUAGGGGAGCGAACAGG
RNAcentral lists this ribosomal RNA (253 nucleotides) under uncultured bacterium. Its description in RNAcentral is "partial 16S ribosomal RNA". It matches the Rfam family "Bacterial small subunit ribosomal RNA", at positions 524 to 776 of the family's 1533-position model. The record is from RNAcentral.